Molecule: long non-coding RNA, 1164 nt
Filed under: Canis lupus familiaris (dog)
Lineage: Eukaryota; Metazoa; Chordata; Mammalia; Carnivora; Canidae
Description: lncRNA (ENSCAFG00040022433.1)
Source: RNAcentral
AUGAUGAUGGUGGGAAGAAGAGAAAAGAGAAAGGCGACCCGAAAGGGGGAGGAGCCCGCAGACGCUGUAGAAGCGGAGGACGGCGCUGCGUUUCCAGAUCAUGGUCCCUUCUCUAAAGGGCUGGGAAGGAACGAGGGGGGCGGCAAGAUGCUGGUGAGUGGGACACCAGAGUGCAGGGCUCCGCCGGCGUCCUCCUGGCGCCUGCUGGACCCUCGGCGCCCGCCGCUGCGGUGUUCGAACCCUCGGACCCGGAUUGGAGGCAGCAGAAGCGGCAGCUGCGAAGCACCCGCAGAAUGGGGUUUCGGUGGGCGAAAGAGUUUCUUCUCCUCCUCCUGCCGGUGGUGCAGCCGCGACAGCCCGUCAGGCAGGCGCGGGUUCGGAGCCUGCCUCCUCUCGGCUCGCACCGCAAGUCCCAGAGCCCGCGGGGGCUGCCCGAGCAGGUGGUGCAGGGACGCCGGGGUGUCGGGGAAGGUGCAGGCGAGGGCUGCGGGAGUGGGCAGGUCGCGGAGGGAGGGCGGGGGCAGGGGGGCGCAGGCAAGCAGCGGCCGCCGCUCGCGCUCAGGGUGUCUCGGGGUCCUGGGAGGGGAGGUGGCAGCGGUGGAAGCGGCGCUGGCGGCGGCGGCGGCGGCGGCUCCCGGAUGCUCGAGCUGCAGCAGCAGCAGCAGCAGCAGCAGAGGCACCCGCGGCGGCGGCGGCGGGGACGGCGGCGGCGGCGGCGGCGGCGGCGGCGGCGGCGGCGGCGGCGGCGCGGCGGCGGCGGCGGCGGCGGGCGGCGGCGGCGGCGGCGGCGGCGGCGGCGGCGGCGGCGGCGGCGGCAGCUCUACAGAGCACCAGACACAAGGGCAAGCUCAGCGCGGCGGAGGCCCCGCCCCCACCCUGGCCAGGGACAGACACCGCCCCCCGGCCAAUGGGAGCGCACCCGCCUCCCGGGCCUGGCCAAUGAGAGGAGGGGAUGGGUGGAGACAAACGCCGGGAAAAACAAACAGGCUUCUCAAGGACCCUUCGGGCAGGAAGAACCGAAGCCCCGUUCACACCCCCUCCCCCGGGUCUCACCUCCCUGGCGACGUCUCGCCCCACCCCGACGGAGGAGACACCGCCCUCACUGACCGCGCCUUGCCCUCAGGAAUGGUUCAGCCAAUCGCCACCGCGAGGGGGCGGGGUUAG